Molecule: ribosomal RNA, 1149 nt
Filed under: Krasilnikoviella sp.
Lineage: Bacteria; Bacillati; Actinomycetota; Actinomycetes; Micrococcales; Promicromonosporaceae
Description: bacterial SSU rRNA
Rfam family: Bacterial small subunit ribosomal RNA
Source: RNAcentral
UGCAAGUCGAACGGUGAAGCCCAGCUUGCUGGGUGGAUCAGUGGCGAACGGGUGAGUAACACGUGAGCAACCUGCCCUCCACUUCGGGAUAAGCCUUGGAAACGGGGUCUAAUACCGGAUAUGAGCACUCAUCGCAUGGUGGGUGUUGGAAAGUUUUUCGGUGGGGGAUGGGCUCGCGGCCUAUCAGCUUGUUGGUGGGGUGAUGGCCUACCAAGGCGUCGACGGGUAGCCGGCCUGAGAGGGCGACCGGCCACACUGGGACUGAGACACGGCCCAGACUCCUACGGGAGGCAGCAGUGGGGAAUAUUGCACAAUGGGCGCAAGCCUGAUGCAGCGACGCCGCGUGAGGGAUGACGGCCUUCGGGUUGUAAACCUCUUUCAGCAGGGAAGAAGCGCAAGUGACGGUACCUGCAGAAGAAGCGCCGGCUAACUACGUGCCAGCAGCCGCGGUAAUACGUAGGGCGCAAGCGUUGUCCGGAAUUAUUGGGCGUAAAGAGCUCGUAGGCGGUCUGUCGCGUCUGGUGUGAAAUCCCGAGGCUCAACCUCGGGCUUGCAUCGGGUACGGGCAGACUAGAGUGCGGUAGGGGAGACUGGAAUUCCUGGUGUAGCGGUGGAAUGCGCAGAUAUCAGGAGGAACACCGAUGGCGAAGGCAGGUCUCUGGGCCGCAACUGACGCUGAGGAGCGAAAGCAUGGGGAGCGAACAGGAUUAGAUACCCUGGUAGUCCAUGCCGUAAACGUUGGGCACUAGGUGUGGGGCUCAUUCCACGAGUUCCGUGCCGCAGCUAACGCAUUAAGUGCCCCGCCUGGGGAGUACGGCCGCAAGGCUAAAACUCAAAGGAAUUGACGGGGGCCCGCACAAGCGGCGGAGCAUGCGGAUUAAUUCGAUGCAACGCGAAGAACCUUACCAAGGCUUGACAUGUACGAGAACACGCUAGAGAUAGCGGACUCUUUGGACACUCGUAUACAGGUGGUGCAUGGUUGUCGUCAGCUCGUGUCGUGAGAUGUUGGGUUAAGUCCCGCAACGAGCGCAACCCUCGUCCUAUGUUGCCAGCGGGUUAUGCCGGGGACUCAUGGGAGACUGCCGGGGUCAACUCGGAAGAAAGGUGGGGAUGACGUCAAAUCAUCAUGCCCCUUAUGUCUUGGGGCUU